CGGAGUGUAGCGCAGCCUGGUAGCGCACAUCGUUCGGGACGAUGGGGUCACAGGUUCAAAUCCUGCCACUCCGACCA
Molecule: transfer RNA, 77 nt
Filed under: Mesorhizobium sp.
Lineage: Bacteria; Pseudomonadati; Pseudomonadota; Alphaproteobacteria; Hyphomicrobiales; Phyllobacteriaceae
Also listed under: 1 other name
Description: tRNA-Pro
Rfam family: tRNA
About the family: Transfer RNA (tRNA) molecules are approximately 80 nucleotides in length. Their secondary structure includes four short double-helical elements and three loops (D, anti-codon, and T loops).
Source: RNAcentral